RNAcentral lists this ribosomal RNA (301 nucleotides) under uncultured bacterium. RNAcentral describes it as "partial 16S ribosomal RNA". It matches the Rfam family "Bacterial small subunit ribosomal RNA", at positions 509 to 809 of the family's 1533-position model. The record is from RNAcentral.
CAGCCGCCGCGGGAAUACAGAGGGUGCAAGCGUUAAUCGGAAUUACUGGGCGUAAAGCGCGCGUAGGUGGUUCGCCAAGUUGGAUGUGAAAUCCCCGGGCUCAACCUGGGAAUUGCAUCCAAAACUGGCGAGCUAGAGUAUGGUAGAGGGUGGUGGAAUUUCCUGUGUAGCGGUGAAAUGCGUAGAUAUAGGAAGGAACAUCAGUGGCGAAGGCGACCACCUGGACUGAUACUGACACUGAGGUGCGAAAGCGUGGGGAGCAAACAGGAUUAGAUACCCGCGUAGUCCCUGUCUCUUAUAA